This 1652-nucleotide long non-coding RNA is filed under the name Zostera marina. RNAcentral's name for it is "long non-coding RNA (ZMAR_LNC002022)". The record is from RNAcentral. Lineage: Eukaryota; Viridiplantae; Streptophyta; Magnoliopsida; Alismatales; Zosteraceae.
GAUGGUUUCCUAAAAUCGUGAUAGUGGUUUGCUCUCGCCGAACAUCGUACAAUUGUCUUAUGUCUUCCCAUCGCCAAAUGUUAUUGGGUGUUUGUCAUGACAUAUAUAAAAGAAAAGAAAUGAAAUGAAAGGUAUAGACAGCAUGUUAGUAGGCCUCUUGAGGUAGUCUUUAAGGAGAUCAUUAAAGACAUCAGUCUCUCCUUUGAUCCGAAGUGUUACAAGAAAAUUUGUUGUCACCCUUUGAAGGCAUUUAUGAUGGAAGUAUGACAGACUAACCUCCUGAGACCAGUAGUAAAUGUAGGGGGCUCGGGUCUUCGAACCCGACCCACACUGAAGUUGGGUCGGGCUCAUAUUUGACCCGAGUGGGAUCCUUGUCGGGCCUGCGUUAUGAGUUGAGUUAUUGUUGUUAUCCUUGAGCCACAAUUAGUUAACUGAGGGUAUCAUCAGUCCGUUUAGAUUGCUUAUCCUCCACAAUUAGUUAACCUUUAGAAAUUAACUCUACGAUAACAGUCUUUAGCACCGUGUCCUUUAAACAAAUCUGACAUGGAGCUUUUCAUUGAAUCUUGAUGAGCAUAUAUAUAUAGUUCUUUCCUCUAGUUUCUAUGCUCGACUCAAUCUUUGACGGAGUAAGUGCGAACUGUAGCUCCUGAUCCAUUGGCAACAAACUCUUUAAUUGAAUAAGGGUCUUGGCGUGAUCAAAUAUAUCUAGUAGUAAUCGUGGAGAAAAAUGGUUGAUAAUCGAUUCCCAGACCACCCUGCAAGGUAAUUAGAACAAUCUGUGAAUCUUUAAUUUUAUCUCCAGCAGCAGCAAGUUUGUCCCUAGCAAUUGUAAUUUUCUUCAAAUAAUCUACCAUCGAUCGACAUUUGAUCUUUCUUGAUAUUUUGUAAUUGGAAUCACAGAUGCAAUAGCCUUGCUGUUUCUCUAUUCGAUGAGAACAUCUCGUUCAAACAUUUCUACACUUGUUUUCAUUUCUUUUUUUCUUUCUUCUUGAUUACUUCUUUUUUUUCUUCCUUCUUGAUUACAUCUUUUUUCAGAUCUGUUUAGAUCGAUCCUUAGUUUCUCAAAUCUUGUGUCGACUGACGUCGAUUCUUGUGUUGAUAACCUCUUUGAUUAUUAUUAUUUCAGGUUUAGGUUUCGUCUAUUUUCGAUGUGAUGGAAUUGUCUACGUCUCUUUUGAUAUCUUUAUGUUCGAUUGGUGUGGUGUGGUCCACGACUUAGAUCAAACAGAUGUCGUCUUUGGAUUUGGAUCAUUUUCUUGUAAAUGCAAGCUGAAAGGGCUGCUGGUUAAUUUUAGAGGAUUUAGUCUGACGGAUGAAAGCUGAUAGGAUCGUUUCUUAAUUUCAUGCUGUAUUUUCGAUCAAUAUGUACGUAUUUUCAUGUAUGCACUGAUUGGCAUAUGUUUUUGGUAACAUUGAACUCGACCUUUGCCAUGUUGGGUGCGCUCGCAUGCAUGGCAGGUCACUCUAAAUCCUAAUAAAAAAAAAGUUUUUUUGGUUUGGUUUGGAGAAGUUUUUUUUAUAUCCAUGGUCGAUCUUGGUGUUUCUUCAUUUUGUUAUUUAUUUGUAUUGCGUUCACAUCAUUGGAUCGUCUUUCAUUGGUUAUAUGAGUUACGUCGUUCGUUCAAAUUGUCUUGAGGUGCCCAUUAAUUUAU